RNAcentral lists this transfer RNA (70 nucleotides) under Schistosoma japonicum. RNAcentral's name for it is "tRNA-OTHER". Lineage: Eukaryota; Metazoa; Platyhelminthes; Trematoda; Strigeidida; Schistosomatidae. The record is from RNAcentral.
GGCUCAGUGGUCCAAUAGUAAAGCGCUCGUUGUGAAUCCAGAGGUCCUGGGUUCGAUCCCCAAAGGGUCG